This is a long non-coding RNA of Cuculus canorus (common cuckoo), 2219 nucleotides long. RefSeq lists it as uncharacterized. NCBI's taxonomy places the organism in Eukaryota, Metazoa, Chordata, Aves, Cuculiformes, Cuculidae. The transcript has 3 exons. The record is from RefSeq and is a predicted model, not a curated record.
CUUUUUUUUCCCCCUAGAAGUCAACAAAAUAGCAAACAUUUGCUGGUUUUAUUUUCAUUAAUGCUUUAUAAACUGUUUAGUAACUGUUCUUUCCAAAAGAGGGAGAGGAGCGUGCACUUCUUCUUCAAAUGGAUAAACUCUAAAGGAGAUCUUGUAAAACUGAGUGAAAACUUGGACUACUGGACCAGCAGCUUUUCCACAAACACCUUUAAAGUCAGUCUGUUUGUCCCUUUGAAUGUUGUUCAGGAAAUCUGCAGCCCUCAAUGCCAAAAGCCCUAUUUUGCGGAACAAAUCAAUACAUGGGAUUUCUUCCUUAGGAGCUUGAGCAGUUGUUUUGAUGGGCUCCAACUGGCUCCUUGGAGGAGCACAAUCAGUUAUCUAAUCUCAUGAAAACAAAGCAGAGGAGUGAGCGCACGCCGUGUGUGGGGCCAUCUCUGGUGCUGGGCAGCGUCUUGACGUCUCGCAUGAAGCAUGGCUGGAAAAUACAACAGUUAUAAAAACAUCAACUGUUUUUAAAAGUUAACGGUAGGCUUUCAAAGGGAACAGUGCGUCAAACGCGAGGAUCAUAGAAUCACAGGGUGGUUUGGGUUGGAAGGGAUCUCAAAGCCCAUCCAGUUGCACCCCAUGCCAUGGGCAGGGACACCUCUCACUGGAUCCGGUUGCUCCAAGCCCGGUCCGACCUGGCCCUGAGCAGGUUUGGGUUCGUGCUGGAGAGCUCGUGCUCUCUGUCAUGUUCAUCUCACCCCCUCUGCUGGUUUAUUGCCUGCUAGAACUGCAGCCACAGCCAAGGCCACGUGCUGGUAGUGUGCGUUGUCUUCCUCCGCAACAAUAAUGGACUUGGAGUAUAGAGUUCUUUUGCUGAACACCAAAAUGCUAUGAGAAGACAGUGAUUCUGGCCAGGAGCAUCUGGACAAAGAGCAGCGCUCUCCAAAAUGUGCAGCACUUUUACUGGUGCAGUUUGCAGUCUGAGGUAACGGUGGUGGAGAUCUGUGGGACAGCCUGGCCUUGGUGCUUUUCCUUUACUCUGGAAUAUUGAGAUCUAAGUGACCUUUGCAAAAUUACUUGGAGGAUCCAAAUCCAGCCCCUAUUGAGGACAUACCCAGACCACUGAAGCUCUCAUCUAAGCUAAGUUGACAUUAAUUACUUUUCUUGUUAGCAAAUUCUGAAAUGAUGCCAUCUCGAGGGUGAAAUAGAGCAGCUAAUUAAUAGAACUUAAUUUACACAGUGUCAUUGUGAUACCUCCACUAAUACAUAAUCACAACAACAACAAUAUUAACAGUAAUAUUAAUCUUCUCUGUCACCCAGAAUGCUUUUCAAACCCUGCUAUGGCUGGAUUUGUCAGUUGUUCUGGCACAAAGAAAAACCAACAUGAAUUUUGUUAUUCUUAGACACGACUGAGUUUAUUGCUUUUUUGAGUACGCUCGCCUUCAACUUUUAAAAUCUGAAUUUUUCAUUUUAACUCCAAUUGAAUUUUAUGAUACAUUUAUGUACUUUUCAGCUAACUUUUAUACUUACAGGCAACCAAUUAUUAUACAGAGGAUCCCAGAGUUAAUAUUUUUGGGUUUGAAGCUUCAUUUUAUUUGAGACUAUAUAAAUAAAGUUCUCAUGAAGUAUUUAUACAUCCUAACCCAGCUUAGGGAAGAAUCAAAAGCAAUGGGUAAGCAAUGCAGAAUCAGACAUUAUUUGUGCCUUUACAUUUUAAAAACAGAGAAAUUGUUUUGAAAACUAUGCAAAUUUUUAGAUUGUUAAAGGAAACAAAAAGCUUAAUAAAACCAGGGCUCUUUCACUGAGAUUCUGCAUUUGUUAAUUCUUUUUUUCACAGUGAUCAGGCUUUGUUGGAGUGAUUUGUGUUGGAUUUGUACUUGUGACCAGCUCUGUGUGCAUAGAUAACCAUCGCAUACCCCUCUCCCAUAUAGGUGAUUGUAAAUGGCAAGGAGGCUGAAUGCCGUCACCGGGGACAGACAGUGCGAUCCUGGUGAGAUCCAGAGAGAUGCGACAAAAUAAACCAGCCUUGAUGUCCACUGACGUGCUCUUUCAGGCCUUCUGAGCUGCUUGCAGCUUGCAUUCCGCAGCCCCACAGAGGGACUGGAACAUGGCCUUUUGAAGGCACGGUUUCGAUAACGCUAUUAUGAUGCCUGCUGGUUUCCCUCUUUCAUCUGGAAGGAGUCAGUCUCUGGGUGAGGAGCUUCAGUGAUGCUCGCACUUCAGCCUCUCAGCAU